RNAcentral lists this ribosomal RNA (381 nucleotides) under uncultured organism. RNAcentral's name for it is "partial 16S ribosomal RNA". It matches the Rfam family "Bacterial small subunit ribosomal RNA", at positions 527 to 897 of the family's 1533-position model. The record is from RNAcentral.
GUAGGUGGCAAGCGUUGUCCGGGAAUUAUUGGGGCGUAAAGCGCGCGCAGGCGGUUCCUUAAGUCUGGAUGUGAAAAGCCCCCCGGGCUCAACCGGGGGAGGGGUCAUUGGAAACUGGGGAACUUGAGUGCAGAAGAGGAGAGCGGAAUUCCACGUGUAGCGGUGAAAUGCGUAGAGAUGUGGAGGAACACCAGUGGCGAAGGCGGCUCUCUGGUCUGUAACUGACGCUGAGGCGCGAAAGCGUGGGGAGCGAACAGGAUUAGAUACCCUGGUAGUCCACGCCGUAAACGAUGAGUGCUAAGUGUUAGAGGGUUUCCGCCCUUUAGUGCUGCAGCAAACGCAUUAAGCACUCCGCCUGGGGAGUACGGCCGCAAAGGCUGA